Molecule: ribosomal RNA, 315 nt
Filed under: Bacteroidota bacterium
Lineage: Bacteria; Pseudomonadati; Bacteroidota
Description: bacterial SSU rRNA
Rfam family: Bacterial small subunit ribosomal RNA
Source: RNAcentral
ACAACGGAGAGUUUGAUCCUGGCUCAGGACGAACGCUGGCGGCGUGCUUAACACAUGCAAGUCUGGGAGAACGGGGUAGCAAUAUCCCUAGUAAACCGGCAGACGGGUGAGUAAUGCGUAGGCAACCUACCUUGAAAACGGGGAUAACUCCGAGAAAUCGGGGCUAAUACCCGAUAACAUCUUUUAAUAGCAUUAUUAGAAGAUCAAAAGCCCCAAAAGGGUGUUUCAAGAUGGGCCUGCGUCCCAUUAGGUAGUUGGCGGGGUAAAAGCCCACCAAGCCGACGAUGGGUAGCUGGUCUGAGAGGAUGAUCAGCC